CCCACGCCCACUCUCAGGCCCCGCCCCUGCCCGCCCAAGGCUGCAGGAUACGACGCCGUCGAAGGCUUCUCCGCACCACUGGAGGAUCUGCCGCAGGCGCGUGCGGGUGCUGCCCGCCUGCCUGGCUCUCCCGAUCAGGGCUGAGUAAGUGGCGAAGAGGACGCCCUCUGAGUUCUCUACGAUGAUACCGGCCACCGUGCGGCCCUUGCCGACGCCGGCCCCAUCGCCGAUGAGGAAACCCGCGCGCUGACCACUGGGCAGCAAGAUCUCGUGUUGCUGCGGCCAGAGGGGGUGCUGAGCAGUGUCUCUGGCUUCUACUAGUUCCACACCAGGCGUUCCACCAGUGCUACAGCCACACACAUCUCCAGACACUGCCCAGGGCGUGGGGGGCCAAAGAGCCUGGGGUAAGAAUUUGUAACCAAAACUGCUUUUGUUGGGGGUGGGGAGGGGAGUUUGAGACAAGGUCUCGCUAUGUAGCCCAGGCUGGCCUUGAGCUCAUAAUCCUCCUGCCUUGUCCUCAGAAAGCUAGUAUUACAGGUACGCCCCACCAAACCUGGCUCAAAAAUGGAUUUUUGCUUCUCUACUGGGUACACCUGUUCACAGCAGAGGAGGGCUAGACAUUUGUCAGAGAGGGGUGGGGGCCACGGAAUUCAAGGGCUUCGGGGAGGCGACCCCAUCCCUGGGCUGCACAGGAUACAUGAGCACAUACAUCUGUGAGCGGCUGUGGCCCCUCAUGCCCCCGCCUGGCCUAGGGGUGGCUCUGGUUGGGGUGCCUGCACACUAACCUUGUCAUGGGUAGAUGAGGCAGUGCUCACGUCCCAGAUGGUGGGCACCUGGCUAAGGCUGUCUGCUGGCAGAAAAUCAGGUGUGUCCACGAUGUCCGACAGGGAAUCCACUGAUGAGGAGAAGAUGGAGGCAUUGGAGAGGUCUUCGAAGUAGGAGUCCUGGAAAACAGGCCUUGGUGAGGAGGCGGCCAGGUGUGCAGGGUGGGGGGCAAAGAGCGCUGAGGUCCAACCAUGUGGUGGAAUAUUACUCAGCCAGAAAAAGGAGUGAGGCUGACACUCAACACAGUGUGGAUGGACCUUGAGGACACCAUGCUCGGCGAGGAACGCCAGACAGAAGGACACACAGUGUGGGCUCCAUGGACAGGAAAUGCCUAGGACAGGCAACUCCAGAGACAGGAAGUGGAUCUGUGGGUGCUGUGGCUGGAGAUGGGAUGGGGGUGAUAGGUCAUGGGGAACCGAAAAACGGGCGAUGAAAGUGUUCUCAAACUGUUGCUUACAGAGCCAUGAAUACAUUAAAAUUACUGAAUUAUGUGUUUUAAACAAAUGAAUUAUAUAUGAAUUACAUCUCAAUCAAGUUAUCUAAAAGAAAAAAAAACAACCAAGACUCCAAGUCUGCAAAGCCCGGCACAGGGAGCAGCUCAGCAGGGGUGAGGGUGGACAAGGGGACCC
Molecule: long non-coding RNA, 1454 nt
Filed under: Heterocephalus glaber (naked mole-rat)
Lineage: Eukaryota; Metazoa; Chordata; Mammalia; Rodentia; Bathyergidae
Description: lncRNA (ENSHGLG00100049432.1)
Source: RNAcentral